GUGAAGAACGCAGCGAAAUGCGAUAAUUAAUGUGAAUUGCAGAAUUCAGUGAAUCAUCGAGUCUUUGAACGCACAUUGCGCCCCCUGGUAUUCCGGGGGGCAUGCCUGUCCGAGCGUCAUUGCUGCCCUCAAGCCCGGCUUGUGUGUUGGGCCUCGUCCCCCCUCCGGGGGACGGGCCCGAAAGGCAGCGGCGGCACCGUGUCCGGUCCUCGAGCGUAUGGGGCUUUGUCACCCGCUCUGUAGGCCCGGCCGGCGCCUUAGCCGACGACACAAUCUUUUUUUUCAGGUUGACCUCGGAUCAGGUAGGGAUACCCGCUGAACUUAAGCAUAUCAAUAAGCGGAGGA
RNAcentral lists this unclassified non-coding RNA (345 nucleotides) under soil metagenome. RNAcentral describes it as "partial contains 5.8S ribosomal RNA, internal transcribed spacer 2, and large subunit ribosomal RNA". The stretch from base 2 to 119 matches the Rfam family "5.8S ribosomal RNA", at positions 37 to 154 of the family's 154-position model. The record is from RNAcentral.